AGAUUGACUUGGCAAUAUUGAGUUUUCAGUAGUCGGAUGAAAGUAUAUGCGGUUAGGAUGAUAGUGGACUCUUAGGGCUGAGUGGAUGGUUGAUUGAAUAGUAUAGUGUGACGGAUGAAAAUGAUCAAAGAGUAGGUCUAACGAUAGAAAAUUUGAUAAUACUAAGAACUUGAUACUAUCUCGAUAGUAUAGUAGUCGGAAUCUCGUAUAUAUAUUAUAUAUAUUAUAUAAUAUAUAUAUAAUAUAUAUAUAUAUAUAUUAUAUAUUAUAAUAUAGAAUUAUGUAUAUACUAUAUCAAUAGUUAUAUCAAGCCUUAGUACUAUUGAAUUUUUGGCCGUUGGAUGAAAGGAUGUGCGGUUAGGAUGAUAGUGCUUCCCAAUUAAAUGAUAGUAGUCUUCUAGGGUUGAGUGGGGGUGUUGUUUAAUAGUAUAAUCUAAUGGGUGUAAAUGAUCAAAAUGUAGAUCUAAUGGUAGGAAACUCAAUAGUACCAAGGGCUUGGUACUUAUCAAUAGUAUAGUAGCCGAACUAUAUAUAUAUAUAUAUAUAUAUAUAUAUAUAUAUAUAUAUAUAUAUAUAUAGAGAGAGAGAGAGAGAGAGGAGAGAGAGAGGCUACUAUGCUUUUGGAAGCACCGGACCCUUCGUGCUUCCAGGUCAUUUCUCAUGUUGCGAAUUUCGAAUCAUCGAUCGGCUCUGUUAAACUUGAUUUGGAGUAUUUGAAGUACCUAGAAAAUAAAUUAUGCGAUUUUUUGAUAUUAUUUGCCUAGUGGACGAAGAGGCUCAAAAUCAACGGCUGAAAAUAAAAUCUUACAAAAUGUAAUAAUAUGACAUUAAAAUUUUAGAUCAAAGAUAUUGAUCUUGUUUUAUAUAGUAUAACGAAUUUCUAUCGAAAUUUUACUGAUUUGGAUAUUUCUACACCGUUAAGUUUGCAAACGGCUAACUGCGGCCAUUAAAAUUAUUGUUUUGAGCCCCUUCGAUCACUAGGCAAAUGAUAUUGAAAAAUCAUAAAAUUUAUUUUCUAGGUACUUCAGAUACCUCUAGAUCAAAUUUAACGGAGUCGAUCGACGAUUCGUAGUAACCUCUCUCUCUCUUCUCUCUCUUUCUCUUCUCUAGUAUAUAUAUAUAUAUAUAUAUAUAUAUAUAUAUAUAUAUAUAUAUAUAUAUAUAUAUAUAUAUAUUUCUUAUUCUACUAGUUGUUAACUAGAAAUAAUUUUUUUAAAAAAAAAUAAAGUAAGUUUAGGAAAAAAAAAAUCUAGUUUUGUAAAAAUUUAUUAAAAACUAACACUUUAAUUAUUUUUAGCAAUAACUUUUUAAAUAAAAUUAGAUAAAGAUUAAAAAUUUUGCCCAAAUCUCUCUCCUAGUUUUAUCUCCAUCCAUAAUAACUCAAAAUUCUUUUAAUUAUACAUCAUGAUUUAUGCUUUUAUAUAAAGAGCGCUAAUCUUACUUACAAGGGCUCAACCAUAGCAUUUAUAAAUUUCGACAUGACUCAACUUUUCCAAACGUUAGGUUUAUUAUUAGGUCUUUUACUGUUACUUAAGAUUUUUAGGUUUAAUCCAACUUAACUGAUUAAUUUUCUGAAUCUAUUAUUAUAGAUAGAAUGUUAGACCUAUUUUAGCGAAUAAUAAAUUGCAACCUUAUAUGCUAUCUAGAUAGAUGCUCUUUCUAGAACAAAUGAAAAGGAAGUGGAAAAAAUGGAAUAAAAUAGAAGAAAACGAGUGAUGUGAUUAUAAGUUAAAAAGGAUGGGUUUGGCGCCCGAGUAUAUCGCUAAGCCGCGUUUGUUGUGGAAUUUUUUUUUUUUGAGUGUCCCCAUAUUUUCCACAGAUCCACCCAUCCAAUUAAAUCCUAGUUCAUGAAAUAUUACGCAUAAUUUUUUAAAUCAUAGAAUGAAAAAAUAAAAAUGAGUUAACUUUUAAAAUAGUUACGUAUAAUUUUUUGAACUGUAAAAUAACAAAAUAAAAAUAAAUUAAAGACAUCGGAAGAGAAAUUAAAGUUUACUCUCAGGACUCGUUUGGUUCAUAGUUUGUAAUAUUUGGAUAUCUUUUUAUAUUUUUUAUUAAAAAUAUUCGAAUUAUUGUCAUUAACUCACACGAAGGAGUAUUCUCUUUGCCUAAAUUUGAUGAUUUUUUUUUCAUUUUUUUUUACUUUAUAUAAUAUAUAUAUUUUAUUAUUUAAAACUAUUUUAUUUUAAAAACGUGUGCAACAAACGCGCGAGUGUAAAGAAAAACCGCGCCCCUCCCAUUAUGCGGACGCCGCCGACUCGGAGGAUGGUGAAACCGCGUGGAAGUAGGGAUGUCAAUUUGUUAAUGGGUAUGAAUACUCAAAAUUUUAUCCGAAUCCGAAUUCGAAUGAAACGGAUAUAUUCGAUGCUAAAUGGAUAUUGGUUCGGAUAUGAAUAUCAAAAAUAGAAAUCCGACGGAUAUGAAUUUGGAUAUAAAUUUUAACUGUACCCAAUCCGAACCCAAAUUUAUUUUGUAUUAUAUAUAAUAUAUAUAUAAAAAUUUGAUGUUAUAUUUGAAUUUGUAUUUUAAAAUGUAAGAGAGUAUCCAAAUUAGAAUGAAAAUUUAAUAAAAAAUGUCAAUUAACAUCAAUAGCAAGCCAUACUGCCGAUUUGAAAUUUGAGUUUUUUUAUUAUUAUUUUUGGAUUUUAUUUUCAGACCGUUAUUUUAUGGAUACUCUUUAUAUUACAAAUGAAUGUCAUAGAAUUAUUGAAAUUUGGGUAUCUAGUAGUCUAAUGAGCGUAGAUCAUUUCUAAUGGAACUGAUCGCCGAAGUCGUAUGUCCCAUUAUUGGAAACACUUAUAAGUACGGAGGGCUUUGGUACUUUCGAAAAGAUUAGCCGAGCUAGCGCUCUCUCCCUCUCUUCUCUCUCUUCGAUUAUAUAUAUAUAUAUAUAUAUAGAGUUACACUGAUAUGCCUUAUCGGGAAGCCGCGAGCCUUUCGUGCUUCCUAGCUCUGCGUUUUCAUAUUGCGACUUUUCAAAAUCAUUCGAUCGGCUCCGUCUAAAUUGAUCUAGAGUAUUUGAAGUACCUAGAAAAUAAUUUUAUGUUUUACGAUAUCAAUUUGCUAGUGAAACGAAGGGGCUCAAGAUCAACACUGAAAAUAAAAAUCUUUAAAAAAUGUAAUAAUAUGACAUUAAAAAUUUUAAAUCAAAGAUUAUUGAUAUUAUGUUAUAUAGUACUAAAGAAUUUUAUUCAAAAUUUCACGGUGAUUAGGAUAUUUUUCUUACCCGUUAAACUUGCACGUUCACUACGGCCAUUGAAAUUUGUUGAUUGAGCAGGGCGGUCAGUAGAGAUGUGAGUGAAAAAUAAUAAAUGAUAUCGAAAAAUAAUAAAUUUUUGCUAGGUACUUCGAGAUACUUUAGCAUCAGUUUAAUGAGUCGAUCGACGAAUUUCAAAUAGUGCCAAUAUCGAAAAACAGCUGGAGCACGGAAGGCUCGUGCUUCGAUAGCAUGUAGCCUCACGUAUAUAUAUAAAUAUAUAUAAUAAUAUAUAUAUAUAUAUUAUAUAAUAUUAGAUAUAAGUAUAUAUAUUAGUGGGGCUAGAAUACUGUAAAAGUAUCAUGGGCCGGUGAUACUUGUAUUUUUAGCCCUUGGAUGAAAGAUGUGAGGUGAGAUGAUGGUGUAGGUGGCGAUGGUAGAUGUGAUGUGGUUUAAUCCAAGGGGCUAUUAAUAUAAAAAGUAGAUCCAAUGGCUUAAAACUAAUAUGCACAUGAUGGUGAUACUGUAUAAAGUAUCAUAGUCAACUNNNNNNNNNNNNNNNNNNNNNNNNNUAUUAUAAAUAUAUAUAUAUAUAUAUAUAUUAUAUAUAUAUAUAUAUAUAUAUAUAAAAAUUUGAUAUUAUUUUAAUUGUAUUUUAAAAUUUAGAAUUAAUAAAAUAUAUUUGAAAUAUUGAAAAAAGAAAUAAAUUGUUUCGAGUUCGGAAUUCACUUCAAGUUUGAAUUUUUGAGUCGGAUUCGGGUUUGGAUAUGGAUUUUUAAAUCCGUCGGGUUCAGCAUUCGGGGUAUUCGAGUUUAGAUUUUGGGUCUCGGUUUGGAGUGGUUCGGGUUUGGAUUUUUUAAAAAAUCCCGCCGAUCCAACCCGUUUGAGGGGGGGGGGGGGGGGUCAUCUUACGUGGAAGCGAGGUUUGAAGGGGGAAAAUCAGGUAUGGUGCGGACCGUACUAGCCCAUAAGCUACACUAGGACUCUUUUCUACUGCGCAACUCAAUUGUUGCUUGUAUUGCUUCACUAUUCUCAGAAAAAGCCUCAGUUUUCUUGGGCACGGUUUGUAGAGGGCCGCCCUCGAUGGCGAUCCGCCGUUCCGUCGGCCCCACCGCGUCGAAAAUUCCGGUCCCUCCACCGGUACGUUGCCAGUGCGUGGCCGAAGUUCUGAAGGAUCGUCAGCUUCCAGUCGUUCGUGCACUCUUGCGGUUCUGCGGCAUGUUAGACACUCCAGUCUCGCAGGUCUUGAGCGAGUAACAGAGAACAGUGCUCAUUGACAGAGCUGUUUUUUACUACUUAUAAAUUUGAUUAGUCUGAUCCGAUAUUAAUAAAUCUCCUUGUUGAUAGUAAUUUGGCGGUAGGAUCAUCUGGGAUGCUCUACUUUGAAAGAACAAGAUUCGUAUGUUAUUUUGAUUUGAAUUGGUUUACUUCCUAGUGAGGAGUAGUACAAUGUAUUCUUUGUACAGUUUCUAUGUAAUUUUUGAUUUGGAAUUGCGUUUUGUUCCAAAAUUCUAUGAGCUUUUUCUUGAGUACAGCUUAGUUAGAGCUUCUAAAGAUAUGUUAGAUUUUUGUUUAAAUUGCUGUAAUCUAAGUGGAAGUCAAAUUCUUAUCAUUAAUUAGGAAUUAAGUGAGAUUUAAAUUUAUUAUAGGGUAUAACUAGAAGUUCAAUUAAACUGCGAGUCUAAUUUUACUCUAAUUGCGAAGCUAUGCUUUAUAUAUAGUGCAUUGAUUACUUAGGCAGAAUGAACAAGUCAAACACAGUUUGAAUUUUUUAGCUCGAUAUUUUAAUGAGCUAACUCGUGUUCUGCCUCGUUUAAAUAAUGAACAAAACACGAGUUAGGUUCAUAACCUGGAGUUCCUAACUCACCGGUGCUCUAAUAUAAACGAGGAAAACAUAAUUAAUAAUUCAACCCAAGAUUUUUUUUUUUUAAUUUCAUUUUUAAGGUAACCCAAGGGCAGUGACUUGGUUCAGAAUCAAAGAAAAUAAGCUCUUAUUCCCCCUUUAUUCCCAACAUCGUAUUUGGUAUCUGAGCAACAGUAGUUCUCAUAUUUCUGAAUAAGCUGGUAUUAAAGCUUGCGAAUGUGUUUCCAUCUCUCUUUUUUUUCUCUCUCUCUCUCUCUCUCUCUCUAUAUAUAUAUAUAUAUAUAUAGAGAAUUAGGCUGGAAUGCUAUUAAUAGUAAAACGCUUUUUUUGCUAUCAAGUUUUUAACCCUUGGAUGAAAAAUUGUAGGGUCGAAAUGAUAUUAGUCGGUUAGAGUUGAGUGGCCCCCCUAGGGUUGAGUGGUCCCUACUGGGUUAUAGUAUUUAAUCCAAUGGUUAGAAAUAAUGAAAAGAGUUGAUCCAAAGGCUAAAAAACUGAUAGCAACAAUGGGAUUUUGCUAAUAAUAGUAGCCCAGUCCAACUCUCUCUCAUAUAUAUAUAUAUAGUAGAGCUAGUAUGUUAUCGGAAGCUUAGAGGAUAUAAUACUUUCAAUUUUUUGACCCUUAGAUCAAUACUUUUGAUCAUUUCGAGCCUUGGAUUAAUACUAUUACCCUGUAGGGACCACUCAACCCUAGGGAUACUACUCAAUCCUGAGGGAACCACAAUCAUCUCAAUCGUAUAAUUUUUGAUCCAAUGGUCAAAAAGUUAGAAGCAUUAGAUCCUCUAUGUUUCCGAUAGCAUAGUACCUCUACACUAUAUAUACAUAUGGGCCCACAUUUUUUUUUUUCUCUCUCACACCCUACACCUUUUUUUUUAUUUAUUUUUUCCUUCAACACUUUUUUUAAAAAUUUUUUUGCCUACACCAAGUGUAAAAUUUUAUCGCAUAGACUAACCUUAUUUUUUAAUAGUCGAUAUAACAAAAUUAAAAUUUCAUAUGAUGUAAAAAAUUUCAAAUACUUUCCUUGUGAUUUCGCAUUUUCUCCACUUUUUUUUUUCUCUCGUGUAAAAUUUUAUCACAUGAACCAACUCUAUUUUUUAAUAGUCUAUAUAAUAAAAUUAAAAUUUCGUCUAUAUACCAUACAUGAAUCUGGAACCCAUAAGUAUACGGCAGCCCUCUCCACACUCCUCCGUAUAGAAUGUAUGUAGUUGUAAUUGCUGUAUUUUUAACUAUAUGCAUAUCCAACUACACUGUAUUUAUAAUUAUAUCUAAUCAAAUAGUUCCUUAAUAAUCAAAUAGUUCCUUAAUAUAGUAAAACAAGUAAAGUAAUAAAAAUAAAAUAAAUAAAAGUAAAGAAUAGAUUAUAUAUAAACCAUUAGAUCAUAUGAUUCAUAUCUACGCGUGCAUCAACGACACCCUUUUUCUUCUCUCUACACGUGAUCUUUCUCCUUUUUUUUUUUUAAUUCGCAUUCGUAAAUUUCUCAUAACUUAUUCCAUAUGGAGGAGUAUUAUCUUUGUUUUUUUUUUUUCAAUUUUUGUUUACUUUAUAUAAUAUAUAUUUUAUUAUUUAAAAUUAUUUCAUUUUAAAAACAUGUGCAACAAACGCGCGAGGGUAAAGAAAAACCGGCGCACCUCCCAUUAUGCGGACGCCGCCGACUCGGAGGAGGGGAAAACCGCGUGGGACCCGCAUAGGCGUCCCUAUAAGUACACGAGAACUCUUUCUCUACGACAACUCAAUUGUUGUUGUACACUUCACUAUUCUCAGAGAAAGCCUCAGCUUAGGCUCGAUGGCGAUCCCGCCGCUCCGUCGGCCCCGCCCGUCGAAAAUUCCGGUCCCUCCACGGCACGUGCCAGUGCGUGGCCGAAUUCUGAAGGGGAUCCUCAGCUCCAUCGCUCGCGCACUCUUACAGCUUUGCGGCAUGUCAAACACUCCAGUGUCACCGGACUGAGGAGGAGUGACAAAAGAACAGUGCUAUUGACAGAGCUGUUUUACUAUUUAUAAAUUGCAUUAGUUCUGAUCGGAUUUAAUAAAUCUCCUUGUUGGUAGUAAAUUUGGUGGUAGGAUCAUCUGAUGGUCUACUUAGAAAAAACCAAAGAUUCUAUGUAAUUUUGAUUGAAUUUCUUUGUUCCUAGGAGGAGUACUACACUUGUAUUCUUUGUACAGUUUCUAAUAAUAAGUUGAAGUUGAUUUUUGUGGAUAGAGUGUUGGAGGAGGUACUGCAUAAUGGGUCAAAAGUAUUUCUCACUAGGGAAACAAUUUAGGGCUUGUUUGGUUUAUCCAUUUUGGGUAUGGAAUGGGAAUCGCUUUGAUCAAAUUCGGUUAAUUUUUUUUGGUUCGCAUGAAUCGGUUUGGGAUUUCUAUUCCGGACUGGAAUGGGAAUGACCCAUUAGCCUUCAACUUGAUUCCGGCCUUCUACCCCGAAUUGAGAUUUCAUUUCGGAAGCCCAAUAAGUUCUCGAAGCCCAUGUGACUAUCUCACCCUCUUUCUCUUCACCCCUUUCUCAUCAAAAAAAAAAAAAAAAAAACCUAUCAUCUCUCAAAAGCUUAUCCCUAACCCACAUCAAUAAAAAAUUUUAAAAAUAAAUUUCAUAUAUUUUUUAGAAAACUUAUUAGAGAAUAGUAUUAUAUUUUUCAUAAAUUUUAAAUAAUAUAAAUUUAUAUUUGAGAGUAAAAUUAGUAUUAUAGUAUCCUAUAAUUUUUUUAGUUUAUACGAACCAAACAAUGAAAUGUGAAUAACUCAUUCCAAUUCCCAAUCCACAAAUAAACCAAACGUCUUGGGAGAGUGGGUCAUUUCAAUUACCAUUCUAAUUCAUUCUCAUUCUAUCAUCCAUUCUAAUUCCACCUUUGAACCAAACAAGUCCUUAAUGUUAUGAUUUAGAAGUUAUAAAUAGAGUGUCUUUGAAUACUUAAAGUUUCGUAUCAGAAGUUUUCAAGAAAUCAAUCGAGUUUUAGCAAAAUCUCAUCUAUGAGGUCGUAUUGAUUGGUUGAAAGCCCUGAAACAGAGAUUCAUUCUAGGGAUAUAGAUAAAAAUCUAUAUAAAAAGUCAAAAGUAAAGAACAAAUACUAUGGGCAUAAAGUUAAGGGAAACUUAAUUUGAGCAAACAAUAGAGGCAUAAAGCCAAAAUGUAAAGAGGGACCACAAAUACAGCAAAAGUGGGAAUAUUUGGCUUUUUCUUUAAGUACCAAGCUAGUUAGAGCUUCUAAAGAUAUGUUAGAUUUUUUGUUUAAAUUUGUAAGUCAAAUUCUAAUUUACUUAGAAUAAGAGGAGAUUUAAAUUUAUAUAGAGUGUAACUAGAAAUUCAAUUAAACUACGAGUCUAAUUAUACUUUAAAUUGGAAGAUAUGCUUUAUAUAUAGUGUAUGAUACUCGGCUAGUAAUAAAUAAGUCGAACACGAACUGAAUUUUUUAGCUCGAUAUUUUAAUGAGCUAACUCGUGUUUGACUCGUUAAAUAAAUGAGCAAAUACGAGUCAGUUCUAACUUGAGUUCCUAACUCACCGGUGCUCUAAUUAAAACGAGAAAACAAGAUUAAUUAAUUCAACCCAAGAUGUUUUUCUUUUAUUUUUAUUUUAAGGUAAACCCAAGGACAGUGUUUGAUUCGGGAACAAGAGAGGAAUAAGCGAAUGUUCUUCUUUUUGUUCCCAAACGUUGUGUUUGGUAUCUGAGAACAGUAGUUUUCAUAUUUUAGAAAUAAGCUGGUAUAAGUCUGGAACUGUUGUUCUAUUAUUUUUUCUGGAAUAAGUUUGUUCCCAGGUGGGAACAAGAUUAAUUAAAGUCAAAAUUUAAUUUUAAUUAUGAUAUUAAAUUAUUAAGUAAUCUAAUUAAUAUAUUUAAAUUAUUAUUUAUUACUUAAAUAAUAAAAUAAUUAAUUUAUUUAUUAUUUAUAAUUAAUUAUUAAUAAUUUAAUGUAUUUAUUCAUAAACUAAUAUUUAUUUAUUGAUUAACCAUUAAUAUUUUUAAUAAUCUAAUUAAUUUUUUUACUAGUUAUCUAGCUAAAAUAAUUUACUAACUAAGUAAAAAGUUAAAUUAUUUUUUAUAAUUAAUUAAUAUAUUUUUAUUAUCUUAUACAAUAUUGAUAGCUAAUAAAUUUAUUAAUUUACUAAAUUAUCUUUAAGUAAUAUUUUGAUGUCAAUUAAUUAGAUAAAAUAAUUUUAAUUUAAAAUUAUAACUCUUAUUCCUCUUGUUCCAAUUUAAUCAUCCAAACAUUAUUUACCUUAUUUUUAGAAACAAUCUAAUUUUCAUCCAAACGCAAAGUUUUUGCUUAUAUCUGAACUUAUACCAAUUCUUAAAAUAGACAGUUCUUACUUAUACUGGAACCAAAUGCAGGCACGCAGCCACCGUGUAUUGUGGGUGCUGCGUGAUAAAGAGCCGAGCAUUGGGUCCCACUACACCGACGCGUUUUUCGGGCAUUUUUUGGCCGGAUGCCAUUGAGCGCCGACUAUAUUCUUUUUAUUUUCAGUUUCUGGAGACACAUAUUUUAUACUCUACCUUCAAUAUUAAAAUAAAAUUUUGGAUAUAAACCAGUGACCGAAUUAUAUAAUUUUUAUACAUAUAUAUUUUUGCACUAAUUUUUUUUGGAUUUAUUUUCCGUGUUUUGUUUUAACAAGAUAGCAGAAAUAGUUAUUGUAUGAAGUUUUUCUUUUAAAAAAGCAGCAACUGUUUUUGUCGUUAAAAUUUGUUAGAUUCUUAACAUAGAAAAAUUGAAAAUUUCAAAUUAGAGCUUGCUGUGAAAACUUACAAACUUACUUCAACCAAAUUUAUUUUUACUAAGCAAAAUCUGGUCAUUGAUUUUUGAAGAAUCUAUUUCAAAAGUUACAUGUAACGCACUUGGAUUUACAAAUAAGUAUUGCUACAAAUCUUGAGGGUAUUUGUUUCACUAAAAAUGCAGAGAAAUAAAGUGAUUUUUUUAAAAAUGUAUAAUUCCGUUGUUUGGUUCACCGUAUCUUUACUCUGGUUGAAACUUAAACUCUCCAAAAUAGUAUAAUUGAUUUCGCCCCCACCUCAUACUAAAGUCCAUUCUAAAGUCAAUUAUAAGUAAAAAAAAAAAUAAACGAAAUAUUAAUUUAUCUCUCACGCAUCCUUUUUUUACGUUAUUCAUUUUAUGCCAAACAAAUAAUCAAAUUGAAAGAACUUCACUAACACAAAUAUAUAAAGAAACAACAGAAGAAUUUUUCUUUUUACUUAAACUUAAGUUCAUCCAAAAAUUUACUUUAAUCUAAAUUUUAUCUUUGGCGAAAUAAACAGAGCCGUGCGAAGAACCAGCUUUAUGAACACAAUUUAAAGUGCCAUUUAAGUACUUCAAUACGCCAAUAAAAUUGUGUUACGCCCCACCUCACUAAAGUUUAGUUCUUUCCAAGUAGUAAUACCUAGUCAUUAUGUUGUACACUUGUACUUGAAAAAUAAUAAUAAUUGGGUAAAGUAGGUGUUCUUACGGAGGGGAAGAACGUUAUAGUACAGUGCGAUAACCCUCCACGCCCCGCGGGAUAUGCAGAAGUUAGGUGUGCGACAUGGUAUAUGCCACAGCACUCGGCAGAUUUGAGACGAUCUAGAGGGGGAAGGAGGCGAGGCGGACAAACGAAUCGUGAGAAAUGAAGUACACAACACGUAACCCUCUCAUGAAAACUCAAAUUUUAAUAUAUCUAUUGAUUUGUUGGGAUUAGGUUGUUACUCUGGUCCUUAUGGAUGUAAUAAAAUAUUAAAUCCAACAUUAGAAAACACCUACAUUAAGGAGGGGUCUGAUUUUCCAGAAAACAUUUUAAAAAAUAACUUUCUAAUUAAAAAUAAUAUUUUCGUCCGUUUAGAUUUUUUAAAAAAUAAUUUUUCUAAAAAUUUUUUCUCAGAUUUCAUUAAAAGAGUCUCCUUUUUUCAGUUUUCUGUUUUUUUAUUUGAAAAAUAAAAAUUAUGAAAAUAAUUUUUUGAAUUUAAAAAAUUUUUGUUGGAAAAAUAGUUUUUUACACUUUUCCGACGAACCUAGCACACCCUUAAAAUCUAUUUGAAUUUAAUUGUACUCAAAUACGUAUAUAAAAAUUAGAUUUUAGUAAGUUUUUGAAAUUUUUUUCAUGUGAAAUAUUGUAGCAACCUGUAGACUUAAAUUUAUUAAUUAUAUAUUUAAAUCAAUUUUUAUUCUUGCACAAAAUUCUCCAUUGGGUUAUAUAUUUCAUCGCCCUUAUUCAAAUAUUUUUAUUGUAUGAUCGUAUUAAGAUAAACUUCAAAUUCGAUACUAUCGAAAAAUUUUAUUUUAAGGACUUAAUUACUUUAGGAUUAAUCGCACCAACAGUUCCUAAACUUUACUUUUUUUUUCAGUUUAUAGUCCCUAAUCUUUUUUUUUUAACUAUUAUGUCCCCAACUUUCAUAAUUGGGUUCAUAUCGAUUAUGAUCAUGAUUCAUCGAUCCACGCCGGUUAAUCUUGGCACAGACUUUUCUAAGUUUUAAGAAGCACUUGAUUGCACGUCUGGCUCAACAUCAGGACGUCAGAUCUUUCGAAAGAUAUAAUAGGCGCUGUUUUUGUGGUCAGAGAUAUAAAGAACGAUAUUGAGAGCGGUGAAAUUAGACUUAACGUCAUUAGAGCACGUAUCGAAGAAGUGGUUAGAGACGACGAGUAAUGCACUUAUUCUUAAUUCCAAAAAUAAAAAUUUGGGACCAAAAUGAUAAAUGGAAUAAAAAUUGUUAUCGAAUGGUGCAAUUAACUAUAACAUCCAAAUUAUUCCACAUCGAAAUAUGAGAAAGUGAAGAAUCCGGUGAUUCAUCGGCCGAAAUUAUGAGCUGGAAGAUUGGACUGACGAGAACGUACAAACCUAAAGCGAAAAAAAACAUGUAACACCAAAAUAGGCUUGUAUAUAUUAAUGUGACAUAUAUAUAUAUAUAUAUUAGAAUGAAUAACUAAGUUUAAGUAUUUUGAGCCAAUAAUUUGAAUUCAACGAGUUUUCAAAGUUUAGUUUAGUGGAUUAGUCUGGUAUAUUAUAUAAAUUAACCCCAUAAAAGAUACGAUCCGUACUCCCAUUUGACCUACCUCGGUUUUUCGUAUCCAUUUUUUUUUUUUCCUCGCUUUUAAACUCGGGAUAUUUUUUCUCCUCACCGUGCUUCUUGCUAUUCUUUCCUCUAUAUAUAUAUAAAUAAAUCUUAGACUACUCUCAAUAUAGAGAGAGAUACGGCGACGACGGCGACGGUGGCGAUGACGACAGCGGCGGCGUUUACCAUCCUACUAUGUUCAAUGAUUGUCACGGUCGCGUCAAGCGCGGUAAAUCACCGCUACCUGGCGGGAGAUCCCGUGCCGUUCUAUGCCAACAAAGUCGGCCCUUAUCACAACCCUAGGUACGGUGCCUUCUCUUGUAACUUUUCCGCUAGUCUUUUCACAUACUAUUUAACUCAAAAAACGAAUCGCAACAUUCUUUUACGUUUCGAAUGGAUUUUGGUUGCACAUUAUCAUUGUUAAGAACAUUAUUUCUGAAUCAUUUCAUAUAAGGUUGAGAGUUUCUAAUCAAGUUCGACUUUUUUUGGUUUAUUGCUUCAUUUUUUUUUGGUUAUCUUUUUUCAGUCAGUGCACGUGAUAUGAUUCACCUGAUAUUAAUCAUAUGAGUGAGUAAAAAAUUAAAUCUAGUCGUGAGAUAUGAAUUUGUUACCUUUUUCAUUAUUUCUAUUACAUAGAGUUAUAUAUACCAUAUACCAUAUUAUUCAUUAAAAUGUACAAUACAUAUGUAUUGUCAUGUUACGUUAUAUUAUGUUUUAUUGUGUUCUUCAAUGAUACAAUAUACUAUAGGUUAAGAUAUUUUGAUUUAUUUUUAUUAUAACUCAUUCGUCGCGAUUGUUUGUUUCAGCGAGACGUAUCGGUACUUCGAUCUUCCAUUCUGCUCCCCAGGUAUGUCUUCUUGUUUUUCGAUCAUCUUAUCUUCCGUUAUUUCUUCCUCAUCUUAAACUUUCGUAACAGAACGCGCGAAGGAUAAGUUUGAAGCACUAGGUGAAGUUCUGAACGGCGACCGCCUCGUCGAUUCGCCUUACAAGGUCGACUUUCACGUAGAUGUAGAAUCAAAGUCUGUGUGCAGAAAGAAGCUGACGAAAGAAGACGUCGCAAAGUUCAGGAAUGCAGUCAGCAAUGACUACUACUUUCAAAUGUACUUCGAUGACUUGCCCGUCUGGGGAUUCAUCGGUAAAGUCGACAAGGACAGCCAGACCGAUCCGCGAGAUUACAAGUACUUUCUGUACAGCCACAUUCGGUUCACCAUUCUGUACAACAACGACCGAGUGAUCGAGAUCGAUGCUCACGCUGCCGUCGACGCUGUGGUCGACGUUACGGAGGAUGAGGACACCGAAGUGGAGUUCCUCUACUCGGUGAAGUGGGAGGGGACGAGCACGCCCUUUGCGAGUAGGAUGGACAGGUUUCUGCUGCCGUCGAUGCUGCCUCACCAGUUGCGGAUCCACUGGUUCUCAAUCAUAAACUCGUGCGGGACUGUUCUGCUGCUCGUGGGGUUUUUCGGCACGAUCUUGUUGCGGAUACUGAAGAAUGAUUUUCGCCGGUAAGGACUCGGAAGCUUCUUCCAACUUUGCGUGCCAUACAAGUUGUAUUCGAUCUGAUCACAUUAGAUUGCAAAAGCAACAGAAGUGUAUCUUUUCCUGAACUAAUUUCAUGACUACAAAAAUUGCAUCAAUCAAACAGAUCACAGUUGAUUCCCAGGAACUGUAUCUCGAUAUUUCGCUUGCUCGUAUUGUUGGACACAAUCUAUGCAGUUAUGCGAUUCGCUCGCAGUUUUGUUUACUUUGUUUAUUCACGCAUAAAGGUAUGCUGAGGAUGACGAAUCGGGAGAAGAUCAAGAUGAAACCGGAUGGAAGAAUAUUCACGGUGACGUCUUUAGGUUUCCGAUGAACAAGUCGCUGUUCGCUGCGUUCAUCGGUUCUGGCACCCAGCUAAUUGCUCUGUAAACUUCAACAACAGCGUUCUGAUGUAGAAAAGUAUGAUUCUUUUAUCGUUUAUUUCUCUUAUAUGUUGUUUUCUCGUCAUCGCAGGACGAUUUCCAUUUUUAUCCUUGCUAUAAUCGGAGUGUUCUACCCGUACAAUCGCGGAGCCCUUUUCACGGCAUUGGUUGUUAUUUAUACGCUUACAUCCGGCAUUGCCGGUUAUGUUGCAGCUAACUUCUACCGUCAAAUUGAAGGAACAAACUGGGUGUGUGAUGCUCUUUCGCGUUCUUUCGCGCAUCCUGCUUUUAACUUCCUACUGAUUUUGUAUAAUCGAGAAUCGAGAAUUAAUGUUAUUUUCACUGGUUUUCCAUUCAUCUUGAUUCUGCAGAUUAGGAAUUUGCUUCUGACAGGAUGUCUCUUUUGCGGCCCCCUAUUCGCAACAUUCUGCUUCCUCAACACUGUCGCCAUCUUAUACAAUUCUACAGCUGCAUUACCGUUCGGCACGAUCACAGUCAUUCUCCUCGUCUGGGUGUUAGUGACCUUACCUUUGCUUAUUCUAGGCGGAAUCGCCGGUAAAAACAGCAGGGUAGAGUUUCAGGUUCCUUGUCGCACAACGAAAUACCCCAGAGAGAUCCCACAACUCCCUUGGUGUCGCGGGACGGUUCCACAAAUGGCGAUAGCCGGGUUCCUUCCAUUUUCCGCUAUCUACAUGGAACUUUAUUACGUAUUCACGAGUAUCUGGGGUCAUAGAGUUUACGCGGUAUACAGUAUCCUCUUCCUAACUUUCGUUAUUUUGGUUAUCGUCACGGCCUUCGUUACGGUGACAUUGACUUAUUUUCAACUUGCUGCUGAAGACCAUAAAUGGUGGUGGAGGUAAUCUAAUAAAUCUAAAGUUUUGAGCUCAAAAGGGUUUCUCAUGAAACCUUAUAUUCUCAAAGUGCUAGUAGAGAUGGUUUAUGAGUUUUGUUAAGUAGUAUUAACAUUCCUUAUACACUUAGCAUCCUUAUACAUAUCAUAUGUAUAUACAUACGUACGUAAAUACAUAUAUAUACCUACACAUACAUCUAUCUAUGAGUUCAAAUAUGGAAUCUACACAGAUAUGUACAAAUAUUGAAUUCUGAAGUAAAAUUGUUCUUUCGGUUUCUUUCAUUACGGAAUUCGCGAACAUUAAUGAACAAUCAUUAAUGUUUCUUGUGUUUCUCUAGAAGCCCAAGUAAUGCUUUGUGUAAUCGUCUUUUGUUAGCCGUAUUAUCCUCUAAUAAAUCACGAAUUAACUAUAGUUUCUGGUGCAGGUCUUUCCUCUCUGGUGGAUCGACCGGUUUAUUCAUCUACGGUUACUGCUUCUACUACUACUACGCGAGAUCGUACAUGUCGGGAUUCAUGCAAACAUCCUUCUUUUUCGGGUACAUGGCCUGCGUCUCCUACGGCUUCUUCCUCAUGCUCGGGACCGUCGCCUUCCACUCCGCCUUGUGCUUCGUUCGCUACAUUUACCGUAGCAUCAAAUGCGAAUAAUCAAUCACUUAGUUUUCGAUAUUUGUUAGGAAUUUUUGGCCGUUUUCUCUUUGUACAAAUUUAGAUCUAAAAUAGGUGUUAGUGAUUAGGAGGAGAUGACAUAUAGUUGAUAGUUAUGAAUCAUAAGCAUAAACAUAAUAUACUUUGGUUCCACUUGCAUUUUAGUUCUCAGUUUGGCAUUGGUUAUGGUUUUUUCCCCCUACACCUUCAAUCACCCAGAAUUUGAGGGAAGAUGAAAAAGAUAAAACACAAAAAGCACAAGCUCUUACCAUAAAAAAAGGUGAAUGUGCAAAAUAAGAUGCAAAUCACGAAGCACAGAAACUGAUCUCCAUUAGAUUCAAAGAUAAGUCUACAUAGUAUGCUAAACAGAUUCAAAUUGAUGACAUCAUUUGACAUUUCAAUUGUGUAUUUAUUCCAAAUUCAAAUACCAUGCUAGCUUAGUUACAUCUCAACACAAUCGAUGUCCGAAAGAUCGACUGAUUCGAGAGUACCUUCUUUGGAGAUUAUGUCCCGUACGGUGACCCUCUUCUUUUGCGGUAUCUGACUGAUUUUAAUCCGUUCUUCCUCGGUUAGCUCCCAAUCGAAGAUCUCAAUGUUCUGCUUGAGCCUCUCCUUGUUAAAGCUCUUAACAACCAUGCUAGCGCCUUGCUCGUAAAUCCAUCUUAGCGAAACCUAUAGGAAUAUAAGAGAGAGUAAGAGUUCCCUAACAUCACAAAUAACUAAAAUUACUUCUCUAUAAGCACGAAAGCAAGUAGACCCUGGAAUCUUCUUAUUGAAUGUGAUUUAAAUCAGAGUAUGGCAUACAAGCGUACAACAUUUCCUCAAGAACGAAAAAUAAUCAAAGUGAAAAUUAGCUUGUGUGUAUCAACCGAGAACUUCCCCAUUAGUCUUAGACAGAUACACGUGUGUCUCAAUUGUCAGUAUCAGUUAGUGUUUUUAAAGAUGUUCUUUUUUCCUUAUUUUUCAAGCAAUCUAGAUCGUUUGUAUUGUCUUCUACGAAUCGCAGGUUAUAUGUAGCUUAGCUAAGAGAAUCAGAAAACAAAGUAAUCGUCAUGGUUUUCGUAGUGACACAUUGUUUUGUGAGUCACGCAUUGAGUAUGAGUAUGUAAAAGCAAAAGCAACAUAUUGACAAUGUAGUGAUGUACAAUUACCAUGUCUUUUGCAAUCACCAUUCGCAAUCCCUUAUCUCAGUUUGUAAAAAUUCAUACAAGAACACGUAAAUUUCCAAUGAGGGCAUUAAAGAUCACCUGAGCCACCGUCUUUCCCUUUGCCUUAGCGAUCUCUUUGAGCACUUCGGAUUCCAUCACUGGGUUUGCACCUCCAGCAGUUUGACCUCCCAACGGAGAGUAAGCCGUCACACGUAUACCUUUCUCCGCACAGAAUUGCAACAACUUCUGCUGUUGCCAAACUGGAUUCAACUCCACCUGCAAAAACAAUCCAACAUCGAUCUAUCUCAUUGCGAUCCAACUUAACAAAUUAAGCAUAGCAGCUCAAAUUUAACUCUUCUGAAUGAUUUUUCAGCUGAUUGCACGGUGAACAACCAAUAACGAACCUGUACUUGAAUUCAGGAAAUGUAACUCAAAUCAAAGCAACAACAUGUUAAGGAGGUUCGAACAGACCUGGUUUACCGCUGGCGGUAUUUUAGCUGUUUUGAGAAGCUCUUCGAUCUUCUUCGUCGGGAAGUUGCUAACUCCGAUUGCCUUAGCUAGCCCCAGCCUUUGGCACUCCUCCAUUGCUUCCCAAACACCCUUCAAGUCCAUCGGCAUGAUGUCCUCUCUCUUUAAAGGGAAAAUAGGCGGCCCUGGCUUUGCACUCAUGGGCCAGUGGAUAAGGUACAGAUCAAGGUAAUCCAUUUGUAGGUUGCUGCAUCAUGGAGUGAAAACACAAGUUUAGAUCAAAUAAUUACUCACAUCUGAAUACGUAACUUAUUUUUACAGUAUCAUCAUCAUAUUGGGUCAUGAGCAAAAAAAAGAAAGGUUAUCAAAUUUGGUCAAGCUUGCAACGCUUAGGUUAACAUAAAUAAUAAUGUUGAUUCACAUUUCUAGCUAAGUUUAUUUCUAAACGAAAUAAACGAAGCGGGUAGCGUGCUACCUAUCUCUCAAAAAAAAAAAAAAAAAAACAAACAUAAAUAAUAAUGUUCGGGUGUGCACGAAUACGCACAAAGAGCAGUCUUAUAUUUCCAAUCAUAAUUCAUUUUCCAUCCGAUAUAGGAAUAUUAGGCAAGAGACUCGUUUCACACUUCUGGUUGAUAAACUAGCUUCAGAGUCUGGCUACUAUGCUAUUACUGAGCAUUUGGUACUACCAAGUUUUCCGCAUGUUAGAUCAUACUAUUCAAUUAGCCACCACUCAACCCUAAAAGACCACUAUCAUCCUAGCUGCAUAUCCCUUCAUCCCAGGGCCGAAAACCUAAUAGUAUAGUAGCCUAGUUUCUAGUUUUGAUACCAAAUAUAAUGACCCGGCUCGUCAGCAUUAAUAUCUCUUCAGGUUCAAACAACCGAUCCAAAAUACUUAAGCCUAGUUUUCAUUGGAUGAUAUGAACUGAAAGAAAGAAUCCCCAAACUGCUGAUUUCCAAAAUUAUCUUACUGACAGAUAAGAAAAACCAGCUCGAAAGUUCGAGAUUAAAAUUAAAAAAAAAAAAAAAAAGGAGAAAGAAAAAAAAAAAAAAAGGNGGAAAUAUUGUUCGUCGAGCAUCUCUCUCUCUCUCUCUCUCUCUCUUUCGCGUCGAUACCGGAGCCGCUCGUCCUCGUCCUCGCACUGUGGCCUCCACCUCCACCCCCCUCCUCCCGCCCCCUCCCCCUACCCCCACCACCCCUACCCCUGCCGCCUCAAGGGCAAGCUGCGCCGCUCCCGCCCCCGCCGCCACCGCCGCCGCGACCUCGACCCGAUGGCGGUGAAGCUGUGGCGGCGCGAGAUGCCGAGGCUCGCGCGGGAGCCGGAGCGGUAGCGGCUGCGGCGCGCCCGGCCGCCGCCGCAGUAGCGGAGCGCGGCGCUGCAGAAGCAGUGGAGGUUCGAGACCACGGGGCUGCGGGAGGUUUGGCUGGGACUGUUGCGUACCAGAAUUUUCUAUUUCGGUAGGAAAGAAGCGCUUUGUUAUUUACGGAUAAACUUCGCAUGCACCCAUGUGAUGUUGACAGAUAAACUUCGCAUACACCCAUGUGAUGUUGAGUUUUCUUAUUGUUUUAACGUGUAUCCGUAAAUACGAUGAAUUACAGAUAUAUUACUAAAAAGCUCAAUUUUUAUAAAUUUUCUAUACAAAAAGUCCUAAUAUAUUUAGAUAUUUCCUUACCGUUAGGGUCUGUUAGAGAAAUUUCGUUAACGACAGUUAAAAUAUUUAACUAUAAUUAAUAAGUAAUGUGAAUCGAUAAUUUUGCCCUUCUUUUCCUUCCUCUUCCUCUUCCUCUCCUGCUUCUUCUUUCUCUUCUUCUCCAUAUCCUCCUUUCCUCCUUUUCUCCUUCUUCUUCGUCGUCGUCGGUGUCGAUGAUUCGAUCGUCGUCGCCGUCGUGGUGCCCGCGUGGGCCGUCGUCACGGGCGCCUCCGACGGCAUCGGCCUCGCCUUCACCUUCCGCUUCUUCCUCAUCCUCGUUGGCCGCAACCCCAACAAGCUCCGCAAGGUCGCCGUCCGCUCUCGCAGCUCAAAGAGGAAGAGGAAGAGGAAGAGGACAAAGGCAAAAUUGUCAUUUCACAACUCUACUGUUAAAAAAUUAACAGCUCUCUAACGGAUCCUAACUGGAGGGACAUAUAUGAAUACAUUAGGACUUUUGUAGGGAUAACUUAUAAAAGUUGAGCUUUGCAGGGUUAUAUCUGCAAUUCACCAUAUUUGUAGGAACGUGUAUGCAAUUAACCCUUUUCUUAUUUUAGUAUUUUAUAGUUUAAAGUGUACCACUUUAGUAUCAUGUAAUUUUUUUUAUUUUUAUCUUUUCACAAGCACCUCCGUUAACUCUUCAUUAAAUUAUAUAUAAAAAAUUUUAAAUAUCUCACCUGUAAUUUAUCGAAUAUGCACUGCGGUUUUAAUUUUAUAAAGAGGAUAACGAAAAGAAAAAAAAAAAAAUUACGGACGAUAUUUGAAGUUUUUAUUUAUUUAUUUGAUUCUUUUAUACCGCUAUAAAAAUAAUGUUUAUAGUCGUCCUGUUAUUAAACUCGGCCUCUUAAGGCUAUGUUUGGUUUGGAGUUAAUAUUUUUAGGAAUAAAUUUUUUUUUAUUCUUGAAAUAGUUAAUUAAGUUUGAAAUAUACAAGGCCAAGUUUAAAAUUACGUUUGGUUAAACAUUUUUUUUUUUUUCGAGAGAGAGAUUGGUAGCAUAUUACCCGCUUUGUUUAUUUCAUUUAGAAAUAAACUUAGUUGGAAAUGUAAAUCAACUAGGAUUCGAACUUGGGCCUCGGGUGUCAACCACCAAGCUCUUUGCCACUUGCUCUAGAAAAGGUCAGUGAUUAAACAUUCUUUUAUUUUUAAAAAUAGGUAAAAGUGUGUUUGAUAAUUAUCUUAAGCAUAGCAGAAAAUUAUUAAAAAAAAAAUCAUAUACAAAUAACACAAAAUAAUACAUUUUAAUUAAUUCAUUAUAUAUAUGCUACAAUACAUGCUAUUUUAUUUAUAAUAAUUAUAAUAUUAGCCCUUUGCUACUAUUGCAUGCUAUAUUAUAUGCUAAGACAAAACAAUAACCACUUGUCCAAAAAGAAAAUGUUUGGUAAUGUUCAUAUUAUCAAAUUAGGGUUGUGUGUCUUUUUGGUGGGACUUAUGCUAAACCAAAUAGUGACAACUUAUUCAAAAGGACACGUUAAUGGACAGGAAUAUAUAAUAAAUAAUAUAAAAAUAAUGCCAGUAUUAUGCCACGUGAAAUGGUGAAGGCUUUAUUUAAAUUAUUAUUAUAAUAUUAAAAGAAAUACAUAUUUGCAUCUUUUGUCAGAUGAAAAUAAAAAUUUUCCAUUUUCUAUUGCGGUAGGAAAGAGGCGAGUUUUUUAUUUAUACCCAUGUGCGUUUCCUUAUUUUAAUAUUCUAUAAUAAUUUAAAGUGUAUUAAUUCCGUAAUUUUUUUUUUCUUUUUCAUAAGCAUCUUCCUCGACACUUCCUUAAAUCAUAUAAAAAAAAAAAAUCAAAUACCUCCUGUAGUUUUGCACUUUCUUAUAUUAGUACCUUGUGNAUAAGCAUCUUCCUCAACAGUCAACACUUCGCUAAAUCAUAUAAAAAAAAAAAUUCAAAUACCCCCUGUAGUUUCGUACUUUCUCAUAUUAGUACCCUGUGAUUUAAAGUGUAUCAUGUUAGUACUCUGUGGUUUCAUUUUUGUAUCAACUUAGUAUCCUGUGAUUUCAUUUUUCUCUUUUUAUUAUUUAUUUCGGAAUAUUUUUUUCGUUAAAUUAGUGACAAAGUUAAAACUAAAUGAUACUAAAAUGAAUAUUCGAUAAAUCUAGAUGGGGUAUCUGAAGUUUUUUUUAUAUAUAAUUUAACGAAAUAUUUAAAUCACAGGGUACUAAAGUGAAAAAAUACGAAACCACAGGAUAUUAAUUAACUUGAUACACUUUAAACCACAGGAUACUAAAGUGAGAAAGUGCAAAACCACAAAGUACUAAUUUGAUACACUUUAAAACAUAUGGUACUAAAAUGAAAGUGUGAAACCACAGGGAAAGUAUUUGAAGUUUUUUCUAUAAAAAAUUUCAAAUAUCUCAUUUAUAGUUUGUCAAAUAUUCAUUUUAGUAUCCUGUGAUUUUAAUUUUAUAUGGAUGGAAUAACGGAAAGAAAAAAAAAAAAUCACAAGGGUAAUAUUUAAAGUUUUUAUUUAUUUAUUUAUUUAUUUGAUUCUUUUAUAUCACUAUAAAAAUAAUGUUUCUAGCCGUCAAAUUAUUAAACUCGGCCUCUUAGGGCUAUGUUUGGUUCGGAGUAAAUAUGUUUAGGAAUAAAUUUUUUUUAUUUUUGAAAUAGCUAAUUAUUUUGAAAUAUACAAGGCCAAGUUUAAAAUUAUGUUUGGUUAAACAUUCUUUUAUUCUUAAAAAUAGCUAAAAGUGUGUUUGAUAGUUAUCUCAAGCAUAGCAGAAAAUUAUAAAAAAAUUAGAGUACGUCUUCCGUACUUUUGAAAGUAUAGAGAUCUCCGUAUUUGUAAGUUGUUUUCGAUGAUAGGACGUUCGAUUCGACGAUCGGCCCCGUUAAGUAUAAUCUACUCUAUUAGAACUAUCUAGAAACCAAAUGUUAUAAUUUUUUGAUAUCAUUUACCAAGCGAUCAAAAGGUUUCAAAAAUGACUAUUUUAAUGGUCAAUGUGGCACGUUGUUUAGUUCAACGGUGUAGAAAUAUCCAAAUUACAUAAAAAAUUUUAAAAAAAAUCUACUAAACAUCAAUAGCAAGAUCAAUACUUCCGAUUUGAAAUUUGAGUCAUUUACCAUUAUUUUUUAUGAGAUUUUUAUUUUCAGCCGUUCAUUUUGAGGCCACUUGUUCACUAGACAAACAAAGUCAAAAAAUUAUGAAAUUUGGUUUUUAGAUAGUUUCAAUAGCGUAGAUUAUGUUUAACGAAACCGAUCGCCGAAUCGGAUGCCCCAUCAUCGAAAAUAACUUACAAAUACGGAGGCCUCCGUAUUUUCGAAAACACAGAAGCCUAGCUCAAAAAAUUAUAUACAAAUAACACAAAAUAAUACAUUUUAAUUAAUACAUUAUAUGCUACAAUACAUGCUAUUUUAUUUAUAAUUAUAAUAUUAAUCCGUUGCUACUAUAGCAUGCUAAUAUGCUAAGACCAAACAAUAACCACUUGUGCAAAAAGAAAAUGUUUGGUAAUGUUCAUAUUAUCAAAUUAGGCUCGAGUGUCUUUUUCGUGGGACUUAUGCUAAACCAAACAGUGACAACUUAUUCAAAAGGAUACGUUAAUGGGCGGGAAUAUAUAAUAAUAAAUAAUAUAAAAAUUAAUGCCAAUAUUAUGCCACGUGAAAUGGUCAAGGCUUUAUUUAAAUUAAUAUUGAAAAGUAAACGUUUGCAUCUUUUGUAAAAUAAAAAAGAAAAAUUUCCAUUAAAUAUCAUUAGAGUUUGGGAAAUGUGAAUAUAAAAUCAAUCUAAUCCUUACACAUUGCGUAUGCCAUUACAUCAUCAUACACAAACACAGUAGAUUCAAACUCCUAAGUCCUAACCAUUGAAUUUUACACAGCAGUUGAAUUUUUAACUGACUGUUCCAAGCGCAAGUGACAAAAGACUCGAUGAUUGAUACACCCAAAAUUUCAAGUUCAAAUAUUAGUUGAUUUAUAUUUUCGGGUAAAUUUAUGUUUUAAAAGAAUAAACGAAGCGGAAAAUUUACAUGGCUAUUUAGAAUGAACCAAGCCAAUAACUUUUUACCUAUCUAUACUAUCUAUACUAAGGUGGUUUUGGUCAUAAUAUAAAUCGAGUGAUUUAUAAAUGCAUUGUUUUUGGAUUUUUAUUCUUAAAUAAGAGAUAAAGAAGACCUAGAAUGUACACCACAAAGGAACUUUCCAGAAAAGCCAAAUUUAAUGCUGUCCAACAUGUCUAAAUCAAAAAAAAUUUUAACAUAUCAGAAAAAUACAUCAAACACUCAAAGAAAGAGAUAACUUGUCUAUGACCCAUGGCAUUCUCAAUACCAAUGAUAUAAUGAAUCUCAAACAAGAUAAUAAGAGCUAGUCAACACGUUGAAUGCUCAAAUUUUCCAUACACAACAAAAGUAGGUGAAAGAAAACGACAGAACGGGAUGCGCGUUCCGAUGAAAACCGACCUCAAAGCUUUCAUCUCAAAAGUAGUCAGCGAACACAACAAAAAAAAGUCACAAACACUUGAAUUUGAGUUGUGCGGCGCGAAUUGAAGAUCUCAGAUGCAGUUGCGCCACCAGUUCAACUAAGUUUCAGUACCCCACUACUGCAGAAGGGAUAACAAAUCUAAGCGCCGUACGCCGAAAACAAUCCUAAUUGUAUGUAGUAAAGUUGAGUUCUACUUUGGAUUCAAAUUUCAAAGAGAAAAUAACAUAGCAUGGCACAGAAAUACGUUCAUCAUAUAGAACAAAGUAAAGAAUCCUAUGUCUGAAGAAUGAUAGAUGAUGGGGACGAUAGAAACGUGCCGAAUUUGAGAUGGUUUUAUUCUUGUUUAAGAUUGUAGCAGAGUUAAACUAGGCUAUAAUAGUUAACAGCAAAAUCACGAGUAAUUAUCUAACUAUUACACAUCAAGAUUACAGAGGUAAGAAGCGAAGCACAGGCCUAAAAGAGAAUGUAAUGUUAGUUAGAGGAUGCCACAAACACUCCAGUUGUGUACUUGCACAGAAGAAGCGCUUUCUUCGACUUAUCGUUAGACCGAUGAUUUGCGAUAAAUACCCAUUAGAUGAUGGUAACUGACAACGGGAAUAACUUCGCAUCAAGAUCAUCCCAAAAUUGUCACUUAUUCUCUUCAGAAAAGAUAUGAAAAGUUACGCAGGAUCAGAAGAACAAGGAAGCAGCUAUAGGGUACAGCGGUCACAUUGUAAGAAUCGGAUAUGACGACAUAGGAACAACUAUCAUAGUAUGAACUAAAAAAUUUAUUCGGCAUUAAGAAACUUUCUUGUAAGAAAUUGACUAGGGAUAGUUGUUCGCUAAGUACGUUAAAGGGAACAACAAAAUGCAGGUUGGUCAUAGUAGAUAUGAACCUUAAAAAAUUAACCGAUAUAGAUUAAUUAACAAGAGUGUAUAGUUUUUAUACGUAAGAAAAAAAGCUACCUUCAUGAGCGGGAAGAGAUACCCAAAUAUGGUACUUUACAUGACCGUCAAGAAAAGCAACAUACGGAACAAAAAAGAGUCCACGGAAGUUUUGGAUACAAAUAACGAAAAUAAUCUAGAGAUACGUUGCUGCGUAUUUUCGAUAGUUGACAUUCUUGUAUUACCAGUACAAUCUUCAAGAGAGACGAAUGCGAGAAAUUACAUUCAAGAAUAAUCAAAUUGAAAUUUUUUUCACUAAGACAUUAGAUAAAAUAACAUGAAAAGAUUGUAAUCCAUCAUACAAGAAGUGCUGGGGUGGUUCCGUUUGACAUAUGCUAAGAAGGAAGCAAACGGAAAAAAAAAAAAAAAAAAAAAAAAUCCUCCAAAAAUAGAAAGAAUCACACGUAAGAUUGUAAAGUAUUAAUAACACAAAGCUUAACAAUGGAAUGGAGUUAUUAAGUGUUCUACAACUUGAUUGUAGAACUUGAAAAAAGAAAUGGUCUAUAAAAUUUGAGAACAAAAUUGUAAUGAAGGGAAAAAAGAACAAGAAAAGGAGCCGGUAAGCAAAUGACAUGAGAUAAUCAAAUGUGUCAAAAGAGUAGCAAAAUGCCAAAAUCCAUCGUCAAAGAAUCAAAGGAGGAGCCAAUUAUCAUCAGAAUAGGGUGAAUGAUGGAACUUUGAGGUUCAAAUGGUAAUAAUUGAGGGGGGAGAAAUAUUCUGAACAUAGGAUAAAUGAAUGUAGGAAAUGGCUAGCAAAAGUAAAGGAAACGGAUUGUCAUCAAAGAAAAUUGAAGAUGGAAUGUUAAAAGGUGAAUAAAAGGGGAAGGGAUUAUCUGAAAGUAUGAAACAUUGACAAAAAUUUUAAGAAAAAAGUGAAUAAAAAAAAAUAUAGUCAGUUAAAAAAGUUAAAGAAACAAAAUAAAGGCUAAACAUGAAGAUCACAGUAACCUUUACUACAAACUAUAAGAGAAAAUAUAUAAAUAUGCUUGCUAUGGCAAUACAGAGGAAGUGUAACUAGGAUUGAAAACUAUCAAAGAUAAAGUGAGAAUAAUGUUCGAUAUAUAUCCACCAAUAGUACUUUUAUCUCCAAUAUACGACUAAUACCACUACGUGGAACGUAUAUGCCAGGAGAAAGAUGUCACUGUGAACAACAUUUGAUAAUGGGAUUUGGCAGCAACACAAAAUAUUGUUAGAGCAUUUAACAAGUUAAUGCGUUGUCAAAUAUGCAUCUUCAGCGACAAAAAUGGUCUUAACAAAUAAAUUCUCAUCUAGUAGAUAUCAGCAUUGACAUUCGCAUAAAUAUUCAUAACAACGUAACGUUCUGCUUCAAAAACUUCCCAAAAAAGAAGCACUCAAGACUUCAUCGGAUACGACCAGUACAAGAAAAGGGAAGAGAACAUUUGGAAACACUCACAUUUAAAGUUGGACGUCGACGGUUGUAUCAAUAGCAUUACUACCAUAUUCAGAAGAGAUUAGAUUCUACAAUCCCACUUAUAUCAUACUACAAUAAGUAAAAUAGGAGACAUUAUAAAAAUUCAUUUUUGCGAUAAGCAAAAGACAAUCUAGAUUGGAUAGGUUUAAUAGUUACAACUACAAGUUGCAAAAAAGGAAAGAAGAAAUAACAUGCAUUCAGCUGCUAAACUAGAAUCUAACCUCGACAUCGAGCUACAUUCUACCCAGAGAUCUUCUGCAUAAAGUUAAGCUUACAGACAUUAUACAACUUUUACCUGAUCGUCACAAACUUGUUGGUUCCAUGCUUAGCCCAGUAAGCCCUCAAGUCGAUCGGGUUAUUAAGGUUAUAGCCCUCCCCCGCGAGCUUCUCCAGCACCUUCCUAAACGCGCCCUGGCUCAUCUUUCUCCCCGCAAUCCUCGACCCCCUCCUCUUUGUACUCAUCGGGAGCGGGUACACGGAAAUGCUAGUAGUACAGCAGGCCGACUGCCACCCUCCGACCCCCCAUCUAUAGCAUUGCUGCGGAGCGCCCGUGCAUGAGCACACAGGAGUGGGCAGCCCCGACAAGUCUAAGUCAAUUCCGUUUAUAACGAUAUCCGCGCUUUUCCUCCCAUUUCUCACUCUCGGGUUCGAGUUAACCUUGCGUUCCUCUUUCGGAACGGGAGCCUUUUUCGGCUUCCUGGGCUUAGAAGCGCUUUCCGGCCGAGCCCGAGACCGCUUCUUCGGAGGCUUAUCGUUUGUCGCUUGCGGCUCAUUCAUCGGUGCGACAUUGUCGUCUUUGGGCGGGCUCGGCGCCUGCAUGAUUUGGAAGGAAUGAGCCCCGUUCGCACUAGGCAGGAGAUCAUAACUAGGGUUAGUAGGCAUCAUCUGGGGCAUCUUGGCCUCCCUGUAGUUUGGCCAACUAUUCUUCAAGAACUCAAUCGGCGCAAACGUCUCAGGGGCACUGUAAUCUCUUUGGAGAAAGCCUCCAUUGGAGAAAAGCUGCUUCUUUUCGUGCUCGGCCACAGAGGACAUGAGCUGAAGCCCUGGAUUAACCUUUAUGGGCUGAUCAUAGUAGCCCCAAUUUCGCAUCCCGAGUCCCCCAUUAGCAUCCAUGAGGGCAAACUUAGGGUAAACUACCAAAAAUUACGGCAAUGUGAGCCCCAAAACACAAUCUUUAAGCAAAUCUGAUCAACCCAUUUACUGCAUUUGCCUCCUCCGUUUCCCAAACCUAGAAAACCCAUCAAAACCAAAAGAUCCAUCACUCAGAUUGAAGAAAAAGAAGAGAAGUGACAAAACUAUGACAUUUUUACACAAACCCUAGCUCCAAAAUUUCACAAACAUGAGAAAUGGGUUUGAAACACAACCAAAAAUUGCAUCUUUCUUGGAAAAAUCGAAAUAUCGCAUGCUUCUAAGGGUGAAUCUUAGAUCUUUCCAUAAAUAAACAAAAUGAGUUUGCAUAAGAUUUCAGGAAAAGAUGGGGAAGGUGACAUUUUUUACAUAAAGGUCCUCCUUUUACCACCAAAACAAGAAGGAAAAGUGCAUUAAACAAAGAAAAAGAGAGGGGAAUGGGUAAUAAAAGGGAGUUUAACUUACUUUGGAGAGAGAUAGAGAGGUGUUUUUAGGGUUCUUUGAGGAGGUGUGAGGGAGAGAAAGAGGAAGGGGGAGGAAGAGAGGAAAAGAAUGGUGUCUUUUUAUGUAUAAAUGGAAAUGGGGAGGAUUAUGUUUUUGCUGAGGUGUUUAAACAUAGUAUGUUUUUCUAGGUAUGAUUUUUAAUUUUAUAAUAUUUUUUGGUAGAUUUUAUUACAUGCUGAGCAAUAUAGUAAGUGGGAAAUUACAAAUAGAGAGACAUUUUCUUUUUUGACCUUAUUUCUUAUUUAUUGCAUUUUUACUUUUAGAAUUUUCACACUAGUAGUUUUUAGUUUUAUCUAACCUUUUAUUUUUUAUAAUUAGAUUUUUUAUUUUUAUUUGUUGUUUCGUAAAGUUUUAUUAAGUUAAGAAGCGUGUUGAUUUACACGAAAAUUGAUUUGGUCUAAAUAAAAUACAAAAUCAUGUGACUACAAAAAAAAUUCCACAGCAUCAUUUCUACGCUAUUUGGAUACAUAUAUUGUACAAUUCCAUAGAAUUUAUAACAAUUAGAGUUCUAAAAUUUAAAAUUCAAAAUUCAAAAUUUUAAACAAAAUUUUAAAAAAUUAAAACUCAAAAUUCAAAAUUAAAAUUUAAAAAAUAUAAAUUUUAAAUUUUAAAAUUUAAAAAUAGAAACAUAAUUUUAUGUUUUAAAUUUGAAAUUUAAAAUUUAAAAUUUGAAAUUAUAAAUUCAAAAUAAAAAAUCUGAAAUUAAAAAUUAAAAAUUAAAAUUAAAAUUAAAAUUUUAAAAUUAGAGGUUCUAAUUUUAAUUUUAAAUUUUAAAUUUUUAAAGUUAAAAUUCAAAUUUUGAAAUUUAAAAACUAAAAUUUGAAAUUAGAAAUUAGAAAUUUAAAAUUAAAAUUUAAAAUUUAAAAUUUAAAUAUUUGAAUUUUGAAUUUGAAAUAUAAAAUUAAAAAUUAGAAAUUAAAAUUUAAAAUUUAAAUAUUUAUUCAAAAUAAAAAAUUUGAAAUUUAAAAUUUGAAUUUGAAAUUUAAAAUUUAACAUUUUAAAUUUCAAAAUAAAAUAUAAAAAUUAAAAUUUUAAAUUAAAAUUAAAACUAAAAUUUUAAAAUUAGAGGUUCUAAUUUUAAUUUUAAAUUUCAAAUUUUAAAAGUUAAAACUUCAAAUUUUGAAAUUUAAAAACUAAAAUUUGAAAUUAGAAAUUAGAAAUUUAAAAUUAAAAUUUAAAAUUUAAAUAUUUAUUCAAAAUAAAAAAUUUGAAAUUUAAAAUUUGAAUUUGAAAUUUAAAAUUUAACAUUUUAAAUUUCAAAAUAAAAUAUAAAAAUUAAAAUUUUAAAUUAAAAUUAAAACUAAAAUUUUAAAAUUAGAGGUUCUAAUUUUAAUUUUAAAUUUCAAAUUUUAAAAGUUAAAACUUCAAAUUUUGAAAUUUAAAAACUAAAAUUUGAAAUUAGAAAUGUGAAAUUUAAAAUUUAAAAUCUAGAUUGAAAUUUAAAAUUUUAUAUUGAAAUUUAAAAUUAAGAACUUGAUACAUCUUUGGGGUAAGGGCAUCUAAAAAUGGUAAAAUUUUUUUAUUUUGGUUAGUAUGGAUUGUAAUAUUCCAUUUUUUGGUGUAUAAUAUAUUCAUGCUCCAAAAAUUAAGCCAUUUUAUUUUCUUUCAAACACUUCACAGGAUAAUUUUUUUUAACAGUAUAGCAUAGUUCAACUAUGCUAUAUUUUUAGGAUUAUUCAAAUGGGGUAUGUAGCGAAAGAAAAAAAAUAUUAAAAUAUUAACUAACAAAUAAAAUCUAAUUGUAACAAGAUAAUAUUUGUCAAUUAAAAUAAAUUUUAAGUUAAAGAUUAGUAACUAAUAAUAUAAUUAGGGCAUACUUUGGAUUUAGCAGUCAAAAAGAUUUAAAAUUUUACUAUAAAAAAAUAAAAAUAUUCUUUCUCAGCAUGCAUCGCACAGCUACUACCACUGAUACUGUCGAUAUUUUCUUUUUUUUUUUGAGAGAGAGAUAGAUAGCACGCUACCCGCUUUGUUUAUUUCAUUUAGAAAUAAAUUUAGCUGGAAAUAUGAAUCAAUUAGGAUUCGAAUUUGGGUCUCAGAUACCAACCACCAAGCUAGAAAUACUGUCGAUAUUUUCACAGUCAUGAAUUAUACCGUACUACCACGAUUGGAUAUUGACAUGAAACGCACUAAAACUGAAAUAACGAUUAAAUGACAAAUCUAGGAUCUUUGACUAGUUAAAGAAUAUUUUUUAUAAACUUUAUAAAAUUCACAGAGAUAUAUACAUUUUUUAAAAAACAUAAUUAUUUUUAUUUUUUGAGAGAUAGAUAGCACGCUAUCCGUUUCGUUUAUUUCAUUUUUAGAAAUAAACUUAGUUAAAAAUGUGAAUAUACUAGAAUUCGAAUUUGGGUCUCGGAUACCAACCACCAAACUCUUUGCCACUUAGGGACAGUCGGUAACAUAAUAUAGUUUUUUUUUUUUGAGAAAUAGAUAACACGCUAUCCGCUUCGUUUAUUUCAUUUAGAAAUAAACUUAACUAAAAAUAUGAAUCAACUAGGAUUCGAAUUUGGGUCUCGAGUACCAACCACCAAGGAGAGCCCUUUAAUCUCACUUUUGGGGCUUUACAGAGGGUCCCACUUUCCUGCCAAUUUUGUUUGAACUGCACAAUUCACCGACAACCAAAACAGACGAAGAGAAAUGUUACCUGUACACACUUCUUAGCUUUGAAUCCGAGAAUGUAGCGUUAUUUGAUGAAGUUUGUGCGGUUGUAGUUAAAAGUAUUAAUUAUAUAUUUUUAAAAAUUAAAAAAAUUUUAAGUUUUUUUUUUGUUUUUAGUUUUCUAUAUAAGAUUAUAGUAAAAUUUAGUUUGGUAUACUAUCGGUAAUACGGAUCGGUUCUGUUAGACUUGAUCUAUACUAGUAAAAAUAUUUGGAAACUAAAUUUCAUAAUUUUUCAAUAUCAUUUGGCUAGUGAUCAAAAGGUCUCAAAAUUAACAAUUUUAACGGUCGAUGUAACACGUUUAUGAAUUCAACGGUGUAAAACAAUUCAAAUCUGAUGAAAUUUUUAUGAAUUUUUUUUUUUUUAUUAUUUAGAGUAAGAUCACUAACUUUGAUCUUAAAUUCAAAUAUUUUAUUAUCAUUUUUUAUGAGAUUUUUAUUUUCAUCCGUUCAUUUUUAGACUACUCAUUUGAUAAGUAAAUGAUGUCGAAAAAUUAUAAAAUUUAAUUUUCAAAUACUUUCAAUAGUGUAGAUCAAGUUUAACGGAGCCGAUCGUCGAUUUGAAAACUAUAUCAUUGAAGACAAUAUCAUUGAAAAUAAUUUGGUGGCAUGGAGAUCUCCGUGCUACCGAUAGUAUAUCAGCCUAAUUUAUUGUAUUAAUUGUUAUUAUAAUUUUAUAGUAUUGGAGGAGAAAAAUAUUUGACGAGCUUUUGAAUUUUAUAGACAUUAUAAAGUGUAAAGUGGUGCUUUUAUCCACCACAUUAGCAAUCUAGACCUAAAUAUUAUUUUAAUAAGUACAAUUAGGAAAGAGUACCAUGCUGAAAUAUUUCAAAUAGUUUUAUUCUAUAGCAUGAUUGGGAAUAUCAAAUUAAAUUUUUAAUUCUAAUUCCUACUGCUAAUUUAGAUUUUCAUUUAUAUUUUCAAACUCUCUACAAAAGACCGUUGUUAUUAAAAACAAAAGUAAAAAUAUAUCCACACUGAUUAGAAAAAUUCUUCACAUAUAUCACUACAACAGAAUUAGGUUAUAGAAACACAUGUUUGGAACACUUUUAUGUAAGUGUUUCAUUUAUGUCAAAACUUUAAAAAAAAUCUACUAAUGCCUAAAUAUAAAGUCCAAUCCAAUCAAAAAUAAAAGGUUACUCUACUCAACCCAUCCCACCCAACCCAUUCAGCCCGAUUAUAAACAAAAAAGAAAAAAAAAAAAUCGAUUACCAUAUCUCCGUCUCCCCUCACUCAAUUCACUGAAAUCCUAGACGAAGAGCCCUUCCCUCUCGUCUUCCUCCGCCACCGCAACCAACGAGAUAGAGUUCCAGUGGUUGCUAAAUGCUUAAAUAAGCGUUGGUAAAUUAGCAGUACUUUUUUAGAUUAUAGUGACACUCUUUAACUGUCACUAUAUACCUAGCGACCCCACAUAUAGCAACACUUUUUAAAAGUGUCGGUAAUUUAGCCAGCAGCACUUUUUUUGACCAGUACCGAUAUUUAAAAGUGUCGCUAUAGACCGUUUUUGUUGUAGUGUAUUUUUUGGCAUAAAAAAUUUUAAAUGUUUCAUUUUUUUAUUUUCCCUCCAGUUGUUUCAUUUUUUAAAUGUUUGAAAUUCCUGUUUUCUAUUUCUUAAACGCAAAAACGCCCUCUUUGUAACAAUUGUAUCAUAUAAGAUAUACUCUGUGGACUUAUUUUGAUGUCAAAAUAAUUUAUCCAGUAAUAUACUAUUCAAUAUGAAAAGUUUUUUUUUUCUCAUCAAAGCUAUGAGUGUACUUAAACGUAUAAAAUGGAACAGAAUAUUCAGCUUUCGGAUUGCUCUUUAGAAUAAGAUAAAUCAUCGCAAGUAAAAUAUACUAUUCUAUCAACUUGUAGAUAGUAAGGUACUUUCGAGGACAAAACUCAAUAUCUUUUGCCAUAAAAUUAUGUCAAUUUUUUUUUUUUGUAUACCGAAUAAGUUAUUAUCAGGUAACUUAUUUUGAUAUCCAACAAGUUAUAAGACAUUUUUUAGUUAUCACAAUAAAUUGAUUAUGCAAGUAACACUUACCUAGCGCCGGAAUUUUUUUAUAUGAUUGUAAACAAAGAGUUUAAUUUUUAUUCCUUAAAAGAUAUUGGCAUAUAUGAUUUAGUAUAUAUGAUAGUAUAUUUCACGUAUGAGAUAAUUUAUUUUAUUAUAAAAAAAUAAUUUGAAGGCCGAAUAUCCUAGCUACUAAAUGAGUAUUAAUAGCUUUUAGAGUAAAUCAAUAGGAUAUGUAGAAUGAGAUAUUUAUACAUCCAAAUAGAGCUUAAAGUUUUAUUUAAAUACAUAAGUAUUUUGUUAAACUUUUUUUUUCGUCUAUUUAAAUGGCUUGUAUUUGGUAGAUGAGUUGCAUGGUCAAGUAUAUACAAGGCACUAUCAUAUUCAAUUUGUAAAUUAUUUUUUUAGAAUAAGAUAAAAUAAAUCAUCUCAUAGAAAAAUAUGAUAUUUAUCUAAUUAUUGGGCUCAAAAGCCUUCCAAACUACUAAAAUCAAGCUUCUUACUUGUAAUUAGGAAAAAAAAAUCAAAAAAUAACUUCACCACAUAGAAGUAAUCAUGAAUAACUUAUUCGAAUAUCAAAAUAUUAUCGAAGUUAUCCAAUAAUAGCUUACUCGCUAUCAAAAUUUUGUAUCAUGUUUGAAAGUUGGGAGUUUGAUUUUUGAGUUUUGAGAAGUCUCAACAUCUUCUUAAACUGUUAUCCGACCACUUUUCUGCACUAUUCAUGAUGUCUAAAACUGAUGACGACGUUGAUAAUCAUUACUUGUGGGCACAUGAGUUGACUUGGUGAAUUGGAGCUGAUUCGGGCAGGUUAUAUAUUUUUAUAUUUUUGGUUUUCACUUGCCGCCCAGUUCAGCAUAUAUCGACUUGGCGGAGCUCCAUUCGACCCAAAUUCAUUUGCAUCCGUAAUUGCAAAUAUGAUGCAAAUUUAGUGGGUUCUUGAGCAUACAUAUAUGCUUUAUCUUCCAAAGGUUAAUGCGCUUUCACUCUUGAUAAUGUAGCUAAAUUCAUAUUCAUCAACUCAGUUACUGAGGCAGAGACUAUUGUGUGAUAUUUAGACUUUGUUUGGUAUUGAGGUCUAUCUAACGCUAUUAGAUAAAAUGGAGUUGAGGAAAAAGCAUAUAAGAAUAUGCUUCUGUGUUUUCCGGUGGGACCGUAGAAAAUAUAUCGUAACCAACCCAUCGCGAUAUGCGGUACGCAAUAUUACGUACAGAAACAAACAUGGUAUUUUUCCAACGUACUUUCUCACCGCACGUAACGCAAUCUUCCCGCAAUCCCAAACGAAACCUUAAAAGUGUUUCACUUCACGUUUGUCACGUGUUUUUAUACAGUGAUGCUUUCUUUGCUGUAAAUAGUAUUUUUUAUGGGGAGCAACUCUCCAAAGUUAAUGUAAAAAUCGAAAAUUAAAUACCGAAGCUCAGAUAAAAAUCAAUGUAAUUUUGAGACCGUUUGAUUUUUUUUUUAGAAAUAAACUUAGGUGAAAAUAUAAAAUAAAUAUGUGUUAAAUUUGAAAACUCAGAUAUACUAAUCAUCAAAUUCUUACUCAACUACGUUAGAUACGAUUGCUAAAAAAUUAAAUUUUUUGCAUCCAUAAUUUAAUAGAUAUAACAUAUUUUACAUACAAAAUAAUUUUGAGUACUAAAUAUAGUAUACUAUACUAGAAAUUUACGUUAUACUACUCUUCUAUCAAAUAAUUUUGAAGUUCUUGAGUAAAUCAAACACUAAUUCACCCAACAAGGAUAUAUUUUUUUUCUUUCUAUUUAAAGCCUGAGGAAGUUUAUAUGAUAAGAAAUUACAAAUUGAAUAUGACAUAUGAGUAAGGAAUUUAAUUACUUUUUUUGAAUAAAUAGGAAGCAAAGGAUUAUUGGAAUAAGCCUUGUUAAAUAUAAGAAAUAUAUAAACAUCAUUCUCUACGAGGUUAAAUUUUUAGAGUACACGAUAUUUCACAUGAUGUCAGAUUCUGAGUUCGAGUCACACCAGGCUUCUAGUAUUAUUAAUUUUCUUUUAUUUAAUGCAAGUCUACGUUAUAGACCUUAUAAAAACUCAAGUCCGGAGGUGAAGAGGAUGAGAACAAGUAGAAAUAGUAAGAACUAAAAAGAGACCAGAUAAAAAAAGGGGUUAAUUUCAUUCAAGUUUCUGCAAACAUAGUGAAUGAUAAAUAUAUCCCUAUAAAAUUCAACUUUCAUAUGUUGUUCUUGCAAACGUUCUAAUAUUUUCAAAUAUGUUCCUCUGAUUUGUUACUGUUAGAGAACCGUUAGACAACUGUUUAUAUUUUUAAUUUUGUCAUCACAAAUAUGUCCCUUCAAAAACCACAACAGUAUAAUAUAAGAGGGGUAAAAAUAUCAAAAACUAACCAGAAUUAACUAUUUAAUAUAUGAUUAACUAAAUUUUUUUAAUAGAUUCUAACGACAGGCAUCAAGACUUUUGCAGAGACAAGAUAUAAUAUGUUGAACUUUGUAAAAAUAUAUUUGCCAUUUACUAUUUUUGUAGAGAUCUGUAUGAAAUUAAUCCUAAAAAAUACAUACAUUUGCAUAAUUACAACUGUGUUAUAAUUUUAACCAUUUAAUUCUGUGCACUUUGAACGGUGGAAACUGCAUAAAUAGACCUGACUGUAACAGUUAGAAUUAUGCUGAAGUCAACAGCAGUUCCAAAUACAAUAAUUGGAUAGAAUAAUUUUAAGCACGAGAUAAAAUAAUAGAAUUACCUAUUUAAUAUAGACAAUAUCUUUUCUUUAUAUUUUAAGGUACCAAAAUUUGAAACUACGCAAUUAAAUAAUUUUUUUUUCUAAUUGCAGAGCUUAAUUUCAACUAUAUAUGCAGUCAAAUAAGAUAUAUAUAUAUAUAUAUAUAUAUAAUUGAUGUAUUUUUAAUUAUAUUCAUAUCCAAGUGCAAUGCAUUGAUAAUUAUAUCGAGCCAAACAGUCCCUAAAGUAAAAUAAUUAUAAGAUGAAUAACUAAUACCAAAUUUUCUUCUAAAAAAUGAAAAUUCCAAAUUUUUUUUUUCAAAAUUGAUUUUAAAAAACACGAAACUAAUUGGUGUCUCCUUUUUGAUCUCCCAACCAAAAAAAAAAAAUACUUAAAAAGCUAUAAUUACAGCAACUUGGUGCAUCAUGAGUGCCACAUCAGCAAACUUAGGAAUCCAAAUUAACACAACAUAUAAAUAUAUAAUUUAUCAAAUUAAGAAUUUUUGAUAUUUCCAAAUUAAAAAUGAAUGGACACGCUCAAACGAAAACCAUUUUUGAGAUCGACUAUUAAACUCUAUAAUUUUUUAUUAAACAUUUUGAACUUUAUUUAUUUUAAUGUAGUUAUUUUGUCAGUUUAAUUUAAAGUUUUAUUACGUUUGCGAUUUUAUCAAAUUCAAACUCUGUUUGAGCAAACAUAAAAUGAAUUCCAAUUGAAAAUAAAUAAAAAGGUUAAAAUAAGGAGUAUUUUGUUUUAUUAAGGCCCGCUCAAUUUCUAAUUUUCUAAAAUUAAAUAAACUUUAUCAAAAAAUUAAAUUUUAUUAAAUUUAUUAAUAAUUUAAAAAAAUUUAAAAAUUUUAGUUGCUUUUAGCGAAUAAAACUAGACCACCUGACAAUUAAUAAAUAAAAAAAUUAUUAAUUAUGGUAAAAUUUUUAAAAUAACUCAAUAUGAAAACUCAAAUGAAAAAAUUAUAAAAGUUUUUGAUCUGAAAAAAUUAAAAAGUCACUAAAUAACUAAACUAGAUAUUUAAAUUAAAAUUUUUGUAAAUUUAGUAUUAAUUUUGUUAGCUCCAUUCAUUUUGGAUAAGAGUAGCAAAGAAAUAUUGAUUUUUGGAUUAGUAUGAAAAUUACACUAAUCUAUAGGUAUACAAGUAGCUAGCAUUGCUCUUAUCCAAAAUGAAUGGAGCUAACAAAAUUAAUACUAAAUUUACAAAAAUUUUAAUUUAAAUAUCUGAACAAAAGUUCUUAAAUAGAAAUCAUUCAAGAAAUUAAAAUGAAAAAGUUGAAAAAGUAUUUCAAACUAGUGUACAACGGAGGGUGUAUAUAUNUAAUAGUUGAGAUAAAUUUUGUAUAUUUUUAUCAAAAGUUUUGUUGGAAAAGUAAUCCAAACUUAUCAAAAGUUUUGUUUAUCAAUAGUAGGAUUUGUAAUUAUUUCAAAUAAUAGUUAAAAUUAAUUAGAUGAAUAAACUAUAGUAAAAAUAACUGCAUAAGACCGAGGGUAUGUGUCGCUCAGUGCUUUUUAUUAAUAAAAUAUUAGUUUAGCUUUUUUUUUAAUAUUUUCAUUUUCAUAUUAUUUUAUUUUAGAAUUUUAGAUCCUAAGUUAUAUAAUCAGUAUCGACACAAAUACCGAUUUCAAUAAUUGAUAUCAGAAAAAAUAAAAUUGGAACAAGUUUACUCAAAAAUAAUUAAAAAGAAAAGAAAAGAAAAUUAAAACCAGCUAAGAAUUUUCCACUGCAUCUCAUGACCUCGAAUAUAUACAAGCACACUAAACUCUCAAUCAGUUUAAUUACAGGAACAAUUUUAUUAUCAUUAUUAAUUAAAAUCAGCAAAAUAAAAAGAAAAAAAGAAAAAGAAAAAGAAAAAGAAAAACUACAUUUGAACCACUUGUGAAUUAUUAUUAUUAUUAUUUUUUGAAAAUUUGAAUUUAUCGACUGCGCAAGAAGAGAGCGGAGCACACCUCGUGGAACGCCUCGAGGAUGUCUCUGCGGAGCUCCCGCGCGUUCAUGGCGAUGUAGCAGUUCAAGAGGCUGCGGAGCUCGCGCGGCUCCCCCAUCAUCCCCUUCGCCGUGAUCACCUCCCACAUCGACCUCCUGAAGUCCCCGCGCGGGUCGUACGAGGCCUUGUCCAUGGCGAUCAACACCACGCACCGCCGCCCCCCGCCUCGCUCGGGCGCGGCGGCCUCGUCGAUGAGCCGCUCCAGCCGCGCCUGGACCACGCCGUGCGCGAGGCUCGCGAGGGCGCGGUCCGAGUCCGAGGAGGACGAGGAGGACGAGGACGAGGAGACGCUGGGGCGCGAGCCGCAGCACAGGGCGCGGCACCGCCGCGUCGACGGGUUCGUCGUCGUCGUCGUCGUCGUGGUUGGGUUCGGUAGGGUUUUCGUGCUCUUCUUCUUCUUCUUCCUCUUCCUCCUCAGCGUGAAAAUUUCCAUCUCACUGUGUUUCCCUCUCUCUCUUUCUCUCUCUUUUUCUUUUUUUUUUUUGGUUUUUUUUUAUAUUUUUAUUUUGGUUUUGUGAGGGUAAGGGGAGGUGUCGCAGGGAGUGCGCACCAUAUGCUCGACGAAAUGCUCGCGUGCAAAAGUGUGCUCUGCCGCAGCCUUUCGGUUUCAGGUACUUUUUAUUUUUUUUGAGGUCUAAUUGCUCGAUUAGUCCCUAACAUUUAUCCUUUUGACACUUCAUCCUAACCCCCUUCUCUUUGAUCUCUAAUUUUGACGAAACAAGUCACGCAACACUAAUAAAAUUUUUCAAUAGUUUCUGAUCAAUUUCGGCACUGAUUUUUUCAAAUUUUUAGUGAAUACUUAAAAAAGAGUCAUAGACAUCGUGGGCGAGCUCGAAAAUAUUGAAUUCCAUUUCGAUUUCAUAGUUUAAAAUAAGUAAAUCAAACAUAUCCUUACUUUUGAACCAAGCAUGUUCGUCUUAAAAAAAAGAUAUUACUAUAAUAUUUUUAAUUGGACUAAUUUGAAUUGAAGGAGAGAAAAUUCCUAUUUUAUUCCUAUUACUUUUUAUUGCAUAGAUAUCUCAAUAAUUUUACUUUUAAAUAUUAACAAGAAUAUAUCAGAUUUGUUAAACAUUAUGAUUAUAGUUAACAAAUUUAUUUAUCAAUAUAUUAAAAAUAAAUCUGAUAGUCACAAUGUGAUCAAGGCAUGGUCCUUUUGGGAUGAUUAUUGAUCAUGUUGUCUCCUUAGUAAAUUUUCUUGCGAUGGACCAUGACAUCAUGUAUGCUAGUUAGCAGAUAAUCCAAUAACUGGACCCGUAUCCGAUUUCAAAUCCGACCCGAAAUAUUAUGUUUGGGUUCAAUGGUUACAGCAUAGUAGAUGCUAUAUCUGUAGCAUCUACCUGUUGAAAUCCAAAAACUCGUCUUAAUCAUUUUACACUGGCAAAUUUAGUUACUACUUUUCAAAACAAAGGGACUUUUACAGUACUUUCCCGGAUCUGUUUUCAAAUCCUAUACAGACUCGGCCUGAACCCGACCCGUUAACUCUCCUGGGCCCUAUAUGAGAGGCUAGACCUACUCUUUUUAGGGUUAUGCAAGCAUGCUUAUCUUUGAGAAUAUCUUAUUAUCCUCAGUGGUUGGAAUAAAACUAUUCUUUGGAUAUCUUAUGUGACCCUUUUUUUGCCACAUACAAGAUUUUGCAUGUGAGGAUAUCUCCAUUGGGUGAGUUGCUUCUUUGUACAAUGCCACUUUGGAAUAAUCUUUGUUCCCAUCAUUUGAUUGUGUCGGAAUAACUAUGAUUGGGGCAAAGGGGACACAAGCUUUGUACCUUAGCUGGCUCACUUUGGAGUACUUAUUUACUUAUAUUUUUGGCUUUGGGAAUGGUCCCAUUGGGAUCUUAUGAUAUUGAUUUAUGAAUGGUGGUGAGCUCUUCAAGGUGUUGGUCAUUUUAAGAGAUAUUAAGUUUCACAUUUUUCUUUGUCUUCUUGAUGUUUGGCCUGAGGCAUGGAUUAAAAUAAUCGGUUAUUUAUGAUGUAGGAAAGUGAAGAUCAGAUAUUGUUAUUAACAUGUUUGGUUUAUGAUUGGAAUAAAAACGGAAAAAAAUAUUGGAUUGCAUUUGAGUCGAAAAAUGAAAUGACGAAUCAUCUAAAAAUAUUUGGUUUAUUAUUGAAACGGAAAUCAGAAUGGGCAUUAAAAUACCUAGGAUUUCAGAGGGCUUUGAUUAAGAGAGAGAAAAGUGAUAAAGGGAGAGGAAUGGGAGGUGUUUGCGAGAGAGGGUGGCAAGAUUGGGUCAAUGAAAUAUAGUCGGACCACCGCCAAUUUUUUUGGCCCUAAAUUUCAAGAUUGGCCCAGCCCAAGUAGGCAGGAGGGCCUAAACCGAUCCGCUUAAAAUUGGACUUGGUAAGCUAAGGUGAGCAAGUCGGGCUUUGAAAUACUCAGUGUCUUCGUGUGAUAGAUUUAUAGCAAAGUUUAAUGUAUCUGUUCUGUGAAUAAUGAUACUCCAAUGCUUGGCCGGUGAAUAGCAGUCGCAAUUGCUACGGUCGUACCGUAGCAAAAUCUACUGUGGGCUAGCCCGCCACGGAACUAGGUCAAACUUGCUCUUAGUACCUCACGGCCUAGCGGUUUAACUAGAAAAAGAAAACUCAGCAUCUUCAUAUGCCUUUGCCCUACCUUUUCUUAGCCCAGUAAAUUAAGUAGUGCACCAAUCGUCCCUAGCGCAAGUGGCAAAGAGUUUGAUGGUUGGUACCCAAGAUCCCAAGUUCGAAUCCUAGGUAAUUCAGCUUUUCAGCUAAGUUUAUUUUCUAAAAAUGAAAUAAACAAAGCGGGUAACAUGCUACCUAUCUCUCUCUCAAAAAAACUCAAAAAAAAAAGAAAGUAAAUUAAGUAGUUCUAAAACGGUCACUUAAUAUUCUUAUCGGAGUCAAAAACACGUUACCACUAAUGUAAUGAAUUAACAUCAUUUCAACGUUUUACAUAUAACAGAUGUUGCUUCUACAACCCAUUUUGGAUUGUGAUCUUCCAACUUUACCAUCUAAGGACUAAGUUGUCUCCACACUUGUAUAAUCACCUUUCUUUUACACUGAAAAUUAAAAAGAGUUGGCUGAGCUUUAGGAUGAUGAGUUGUAAGAUUCCCACCCUUGGUGGAUUGUAGAGUUAAUAUUUUAUCUUAUAUUUGCUUUAAAGUAUGAGGUUAAACAAUUGACUAGGCCAAAGCAUGAUGUAAGGAGAUCAAGUGAAAUGCAAACAACUCAAUGCUUUUACCUUUUUCUAUUGAUGAUUGUAGCUGAUGUGUCAAAACAUUACAACUACAUAAGCUGAAAAUAAAAUCAUGUAUUGAAAAAGCAUUGUCAUUUUUUAUUUCCUAUAAACCAAUUUAGCUUGGCCAGCUAAUUAACUUCCUACUCUGCAAGAGAGGCAUAUGGGGUUUUUGUCUCUGUCCAUAGUGUGAGGUAAUGUGGUGUGUAAAUUAUGCUUGAUGAAGCUCCUGGCUCAACAAGUGUUCUCUCAUUUGUAUAAUCAUAGCUAAAUUCUACUUUUAUUUGAAGGGAUUAGAAUUGCGUCUUUUGCUUGACAUUUGAAACAACUUCUCUGUUUCAGAAUGUACUUGUUAUAUAUUUGACGAAUAGGGUUUUUGGAGUGAUGAGACUCUAGCAAUAACUUUUCUAGAUCACGGAAACAAAAUGCUGCAAUUUAGAUUUUCUCUUUUUUUUUAGAGAGAAAGACAACAUGUUAUUUAUUUCGUUCCUUUUUUAGAAUUAAAUCCAAUUAGAAAUGUGAAGCAAUUAAGCUUCAAAGUCGGACCUUAAAUACCAAUUAUUAAGCUCUUAGCCAAUUAUACACUAGGC
Molecule: long non-coding RNA, 40250 nt
Filed under: Ananas comosus (pineapple)
Lineage: Eukaryota; Viridiplantae; Streptophyta; Magnoliopsida; Poales; Bromeliaceae
Description: long non-coding RNA (ACOM_LNC029833)
Source: RNAcentral